RNAcentral lists this ribosomal RNA (253 nucleotides) under uncultured bacterium. RNAcentral's name for it is "partial 16S ribosomal RNA". It matches the Rfam family "Bacterial small subunit ribosomal RNA", at positions 524 to 776 of the family's 1533-position model. The record is from RNAcentral.
UACGGAGGGUGCAAGCGUUGUCCGGAUUUAUUGGGUUUAAAGGGUGCGUAGGCGGCCUUUUAAGUCAGUGGUGAAAGCCCAUAGCUCAACUAUGGAACUGCCAUUGAUACUGAAAGGCUUGAGUACAGACGAGGUUGGCGGAAUGGAUGGUGUAGCGGUGAAAUGCAUAGAUACCAUCCAGGACUCCGAUUGCGUAGGCAGCUAACUAGGCUGUAACUGACGCUGAGGCACGAAAGCGUGGGGAGCAAACAGG